UAGAUAAGAUGGGAAAAAAACAUCACAUUGGGGGAACCACCAGGAUUCUUACAUUCUUGGUGGUGUGUAUUUUGGGAUCUCUACUGUGCAGCUCCAGAGAGACGUGAAACAUGUGAACACUCAAGUGAAGCAAAAGCCUUCCAUGAUUACGAAUAUGAUUUAACUGGUGAAGUGGGUUCAAGUCCAGGCUCCUCUGCUUCC
This 201-nucleotide long non-coding RNA is filed under the name Pan troglodytes (chimpanzee). Its description in RNAcentral is "long non-coding RNA NONPTRT013501". The record is from RNAcentral. Lineage: Eukaryota; Metazoa; Chordata; Mammalia; Primates; Hominidae.